GCGAAACGUCAGCUACGCAGUGUGAGCUGAUAGUGUCUGUUCGGCUACGUGCACUACCAAAGCGGCGUGAGAGCG
Molecule: small RNA, 75 nt
Filed under: Leishmania major strain Friedlin
Lineage: Eukaryota; Euglenozoa; Kinetoplastea; Trypanosomatida; Trypanosomatidae
Description: Leishmania major h/ACA-like snoRNA
Source: RNAcentral